ACACACACACACCUUAAUAUAUAAAAUUCAUAAACUAGUUAUCUCCCUAAUCCCUCUCACCAUCACAUUCAGUCUGUCAUUUAUCCUUUUAUCCUUAGUGCCAAGGGCAAUACUUGUUGAGGUAGGCAUGAAAUAUCUAUGUGAUAAGAUAGGCCUUAAACUGAUAGAUGCAGUCAGAGAUAGUGGAAUAUUCUGAACAGAUUCAGGAGAAGAAAGUAGCCAGAUCACCACCUCCAUAACUUCUAUGCUUAAAAACUUUAUCUUACAUUAAGUUAAAAAAAAACAUCAACAGUUCUAAACAAAAGAGUGGUGUGUCCAUAAGUGUGCCUUUGUUCCUGAAAUUUGGUAAUGGCUGGUGAUGGACAGUAGGUUCAGUUAAGAGGUGAUUGUAAUAAUCUGUUAAAGAGGACUCAGAACAUCUGGCAGGACUGGGGGACAGAAUAG
Long non-coding RNA from Perognathus longimembris pacificus (Pacific pocket mouse), 444 nucleotides. RefSeq lists it as uncharacterized. The record is from RefSeq and is a predicted model, not a curated record. The transcript is spliced from 2 exons. Lineage: Eukaryota; Metazoa; Chordata; Mammalia; Rodentia; Heteromyidae.